This 495-nucleotide ribosomal RNA is filed under the name uncultured bacterium. Its description in RNAcentral is "partial 16S ribosomal RNA". It matches the Rfam family "Bacterial small subunit ribosomal RNA", at positions 28 to 507 of the family's 1533-position model. The record is from RNAcentral.
GACGAACGCUGGCGGCGUGCCUAAUACAUGCAAGUAGAACGCUGAAGGAGGAGCUUGCUUCUCUGGAUGAGUUGCGAACGGGUGAGUAACGCGUAGGUAACCUGCCUGGUAGCGGGGGAUAACUACUGGAAACGAUAGCUAAUACCGCAUAACAGUAGAUAUCGCAUGAUAUCUACUUGAAAGGUGCAAUUGCAUCACUACCAGAUGGACCUGCGUUGUAUUAGCUAGUUGGUGAGGUAACGGCUCACCAAGGCGACGAUACAUAGCCGACCUGAGAGGGUGAUCGGCCACACUGGGACUGAGACACGGCCCAGACUCCUACGGGAGGCAGCAGUAGGGAAUCUUCGGCAAUGGACGGAAGUCUGACCGAGCAACGCCGCGUGAGUGAAGAAGGUUUUCGGAUCGUAAAGCUCUGUUGUAAGAGAAGAACGAGUGUGAGAGUGGAAAGUUCACACUGUGACGGUAUCUUACCAGAAAGGGACGGCUAACUACGUG